GUUGAGAAUAUAGUUGUCAUGAUAGUGGUAGUGGCAAUAGAUGAUUGCCAUGAUGAUUGUGCUGGUAAUUCUGGUCACAUAUAUAAUUGCACUUGGAGUGAUGGUUAUUGAGGUAAUAGAGAUAAUGGUGGAAUUGGACUGAUACAAGUGGUAGUAGCAAAAUGAUAGCCACAGCGGCAAUGAUCUUGACGGAAAGAAUGAAAGAAGUGUUGGAGACAACAAAAAUAAUUUGGUAAUGGUAGUACUAGAGGAAUAAGCCAAAGUAGUGCUUUGUCU
RNAcentral lists this unclassified non-coding RNA (276 nucleotides) under Hevea brasiliensis (rubber tree). Lineage: Eukaryota; Viridiplantae; Streptophyta; Magnoliopsida; Malpighiales; Euphorbiaceae. The record is from RNAcentral.